AUCUCCAGCACAGCACUGCCUCCUGGUGCGGAUUAUAUUCCAGUUUUCAAAAGGAACCAUAGAAGAUACAAGCAAUACGAUUUUAUUUUGGAGGGAUUUCUAGCAUCAUAGGUCAAAGACGUUAUUAAGUAUCGACUCUGAAAAAGCAACUAUAAAUACUGCAAAUCGACUAAGCCAGAGGACGCAAAUAUAUCCUGCGUGUUGUGUGCUGGACUGUGGUUGAGACUUCAUGGUCGUGCUCUGGGCUCAUGGGGGCAGCUGACUGCUCAUAAUUAAGAUUGCUGUUGCCGCUGCCUGUGUUCCAAAGAGAACACAAGAGGACAGAGCUAAGGUGUAGGAAUGCGGAAGAACUUGCAGAAACUAGAGCUAGUCUUCGGAUUGAAAUGAAUUACCAAUAAAGGGUUGGGAAAUGGAUCAAGGAGAGGGAAGCGUUUUGAUGGUCCCUGCUCCGAGGUUCAGCCCAUUUGCAGUUGCUGAUAACCUUGUCAGGUCACCAGAUAAAGGCAAGUCUUGUCACCCUCAGGCACCUGGCUGCGAAGUAAUAAAACGGUUGCCUUAUCAUCUAAAGGUGGAGUGAGUCAAACCUCAGCCCAGGGUAAUUAUAGUAAACUGAAAUUGCCUGUCCUUUACAAAAAAAAAGGCGGAGGGAGAGAGAAAGGAAAAGGGCUUAAGGCAGGAAAUUGUGUUUGUCUUUCUCCUUGGAUUUAAAAAAGAAACGAGCAAAACAGCAAAAAGUUUUCCAGGGAGUGAGAAAAGCAGCCCGGCUAGACUCCCCUCACCCUGGGUUAACAGGAUUGCCGACAGAUCAGGCCCACGUGAUGGUCAAGAAAAGAGGCUCAAGCUGAUGAAAAUCCAAGAAAUCUUCUUAGGAGCCUUCCUUUCUAAAUGUAAAUGACUGAGUCAUUGCUUUGCUAAGGAGGGAAGGAAGUUACAAUCACACCAAGUGACUCAUUCAUUGCUGUUAGCUCCGGCAGUUGGAUGAAAAGUUUUAGCAAAAGCAGCAACAAAUGUACUUUAAAUACUAGCACAGUAAGGGAAUUCCUGUCUUUCAGGAUGAAUGCCAUCCACACAAAAGAGCUCCUGUUGACAUCUCAUUUACAAUCUCCCCCAGGACACAGACAAGACCCUUUCAAUAAAUCCAGCUCAGAAACACCUAUUGUUCAAAAUCUUCAACUCGCCACAGGCUACCACCACUCCCUAUGGCUUUGCAAAAUUAAAGAUUUAGAAGAAGGAUGGGGCGGUGGAAGCUAUGAAAAGAGGCAGGAAAAAAGUUCCUUUGACCCGAUGCUGUCAGAGAGCGUGCAUGAAGAAGAAAGUUAAUGGUAUUUCCAUUUAUAUAAGAAGCGCCUAAGAAAUGCCUGUGACGUUCGUGAACUAGUGAUUGUGAAUUCCAAAUUUGAUGCCAACUUUAUGUGUAAAGAAGCUAACUCCUGCCAACAUCGUGGCUGAAUGAACAGCUGGGACUAUGCUUAACCCAUUCCCAGCUUAUAAAAGCCCCAUGGCAGCUGCAGUGAAGCAUCAGGUGAGUCUGAUAUGGGCUGUCUGUUCCCUCGGGGAUUUGAAUCUUGCCUGUCCUUUCCAAGUGGAGUCUUGUGCCUAAGUGCUAGAGCCCACUCCUUCCUCCCCACUGAUUCCCUUCUUUCCAUUUCUGCCAUUUCCCUUCUUCUUUUAAUAAAACUUGGACAUUUUCUG
This 1692-nucleotide long non-coding RNA is filed under the name Homo sapiens (human). RNAcentral's name for it is "HSALNT0392561". The record is from RNAcentral. Lineage: Eukaryota; Metazoa; Chordata; Mammalia; Primates; Hominidae.